CCUUGUGCCAGCAGCCGCGGUAAUUCCAGCUCCAAUAGCGUAUACUAAUGCUGUUGCUGUUAAAAAGCUCGUAGUUCGAUAAGGAUUGAUUCUGGUUCAGAUACAGUGCUUCGUAUUCGUACAGGUAUUCGUUGAGAUCCGCUUGGAAUUGAUUCUGCAAUGAGUGACUCGUACGGUCGAAGAGCUCUUCAUUGAGCUUGGAAACGCUUUCGCAGCCAACAUCUGCACAAGUACAGUCGUUCGUGAUACCGUGAACAAAACAGCGUGCUCAAAGCAAGUGAUUCUGCUCGAAUGUUCAAGCAUGGAAUAUCAAGGAAUCGACCGUGAGUCUAAUCUUUGCUGGUUUCUGUAUGCGUCUUGGAGAAUUGGACCUGAGAAUAUCGUGCCGUAGUCAGUUCCUCCGGGUUCUGCUAUGGUACUAAGCUCUAGUUUACCGGGUAUUAACAGGGAUGAACGGAGCAGUGUGUAUUGGCUCGCGAGAGGUGAAAUUCUUAGACCGUGCCAAGACAAAACGUAAGCGAAGGCAUUCUGCAAGUAUAUCUUCACUAAUCAAGAAACGAGAGUGCAGGGAUCGAAGAUGAUCAGAUACCGUCGUAGUCUGCUACUGUAAACGAUGCGAACUCGGGAUCAGCCCGUCGCCAAUCUUUUCGAUUACCAGGCUGGAACCUACUUACUUCUCCUAGCGCGAAAGCUUUAAGUUUAUGCGUUCAGGGGGGAGUACAGUUGCAAGGCUGAAACUUAAAGGAAUUGACGGAAUGACACCACAAGGCGUGGAUGCUGCGGCUUAAUUUGACUCAACACGGGGAAUCUCACCAGGUCAGGACGCAUGUUGGAUUGACAGAUUGAAAGCUCUUUCUUGAUUAUGUGUAUGGUGGUGCAUGGCCGCUCCUGGUUGGUGGAGUGAUUUGUCUGGUUGAUUCCGUUAACGAACGAGAUCUUGGCCCUUCAAUGACAGUUUGAUCGAUUGUAAUUCAGUCAACGUGCUUGCAUGCUUGCACUGGAUGAGAUCUUGUCUUGUACUCAAGGGGACGAUGCAUGUUGACAAUGCAUGGAAGUGCGAGCCAAUAGCAGGUCUGUGAUGCCCAAGG
Molecule: ribosomal RNA, 1088 nt
Filed under: uncultured eukaryote
Lineage: Eukaryota
Description: bacterial SSU rRNA
Rfam family: Eukaryotic small subunit ribosomal RNA
Source: RNAcentral